AAGAAUAUAUAUCUCCGAGCUGGGGAGUCUAAGGCGAAGCUAUGAUUCACCAAGCCUGUAGGUGUAGACUGGAAACGGAUACGCCUUCCCGUAUUGUGAAAAGGAGUUAGUAUCAACUGU
Regulatory RNA element from Syntrophomonas wolfei subsp. wolfei, 120 nucleotides. It matches the Rfam family "Molybdenum/Tungsten riboswitch aptamer (Moco RNA motif)". The record is from Rfam. NCBI's taxonomy places the organism in Bacteria, Bacillati, Bacillota, Clostridia, Eubacteriales, Syntrophomonadaceae.